RNAcentral lists this ribosomal RNA (470 nucleotides) under uncultured soil bacterium. Its description in RNAcentral is "bacterial SSU rRNA". It matches the Rfam family "Bacterial small subunit ribosomal RNA", at positions 26 to 521 of the family's 1533-position model. The record is from RNAcentral.
AGCCUGAACGCUGGCGGCGUGGCUAAGACAUGCAAGUCGUACGGAUGGAGCAAUCCAUCAGUGGCGAACGGGAGAGUAAUGAAUCGCUAAUGUGCCCCGGACUCAGGGAUAGCUGCCCGAAAGGGCAGGUAAUACCUGAUGAGACCACGAACAGGCAUCUGUUUGUGCUCAAAGGUCCGCCGGUCUGGGAGCAGGCGAUUUCGUAUCAGCUAGUUGGUAGGGUAACGGCCUACCAAGGCUAUGACGCGUAGCCGGACUGAGAGGUUGGCCGGCCUCAUUGGGACUGAGACACUGCCCAGACUCCUACGGGGGGCUGCAGUAACGAAUCUUCCGCAAUGCACGAAAGUGUGACGGAGCGACGCCGCGUGUGGGACGAAGUUCUUCGGAAUGUAAACACUGUCAAGGGUUAGAAAGUUCUGAUACAACCCCAGAGGAAAGGCAACGGCUAACUCUGUGCCAGCAGCCGCGGU